This 103-nucleotide microRNA precursor is filed under the name Marmota monax (woodchuck). The record is from RNAcentral. Lineage: Eukaryota; Metazoa; Chordata; Mammalia; Rodentia; Sciuridae.
AAGGGAAUAGCUGGGUCGAAUGGUGGUUCCAUUCCCAGCUUUCCAAGGAAUCUCCAUACUGUUUUCCAAAUUGGCCGCACCAGUUUGCAGUCCCACCAGCAAU